RNAcentral lists this long non-coding RNA (1224 nucleotides) under Coffea arabica (coffee). RNAcentral's name for it is "long non-coding RNA (CARA_LNC007712)". The record is from RNAcentral. Lineage: Eukaryota; Viridiplantae; Streptophyta; Magnoliopsida; Gentianales; Rubiaceae.
CUCCUUUUCCUACAAUUGGCACCAUUAACCAAAUAUAAGUAGAAUCCGACAAUUAAAACAAUAUUUGGCUAAAAUCAAGGGAAUAAUAAUUAUAAAUUUAGCACCAAAUUAUGACUUAUCACCUUUCCUGUGUGGCUUAAUAGAGAAGCCCACAAUGAUUUCCUGGCAGUUGCCAGUCUUUUGUAAAUCUGCUGUGCAGACUAAGCUGUAAUCAGUUAUAUAUUUAUAGAAGUUGAAAUUUGACAAAAAAAAAAAAAAUAGAGCUAGCACAGCAUAUGCUCACACGAUUGGACAUUUUCUCUAUCAACUCAUCCACUAUCUGCUACAAAAUUUCAAUCUUCUUGGGAUUCAUCUAAUAAUGUGGCAGAUUUAGAAAACUCACUGACGGGUUUUCACUUUAAGUGCAAGUUUAAUUCCGAUUUUACACCCGUUGGACUGCAAGUAUACAGGUCGCAAUUUUAGUACAAGAUGCGUAUCGGGAAAAGAAAAUAUUCCAAGUUUUCUAAUCCAAUAUUAAAACUGCUAAUGAAGAUUAAAAUCUUCAAAAUCUUCCUUCAAAAAUUGCCUUGAAUUCGACUCAGACUUGGAAACCAACCCCAAACGUGCCAAUAUCUAAUGAAUUGGAAAAUUGUCACUUUUAAUCACGUUUUGCUCCUUUUCCUACAAUUGGCACCAUUAACCAAAUAUAAGUAGAAUCCGACAAUUAAAACAAUAUUUGGCUAAAAUCAAGGGAAAAAUAAUUAUAAAUUUAGUAACAAAUUAUGACUUAUCAAUUUUCCGCACACCUAAACCAUGCUUGUCCUCAAGCAUGAGAACAACAAAUCAAGCAAUCGAAUUCAAACAAUGGAUAUUGCUCAAAUCUUCUAUUGCCAAAACGCAAUUAAAACACAUGUCAAGCAUUAGUGAUUAAAUUUCAAGAAAUAUCUCUCCAAGUAACUUUCAAGAUUAAGAACUCUUUCAAUUUAUGGCUAACUAAUCUAAGAAUAUAAAAUAUUCAACCAGCAUCCAUAAGCAAAUGGUUCGACUAUUAAUCAAAAUCUCAACAUUAAAAUUCAUGGAUCAACGGGCUAACAAUUCAUUCACAUUUUUCACUAUUAGCACUUUUUUUUCUAAAAUAUCCCCACACUUGAUUGAUUUUUUUUUUCAGGGGGAAUGCUUAGUUUUUAGCCAUUCAAGCGUUUUGACGCGAACUCUGACAUUUGCCACAUGAAGGAGCCCGGUUAC